GACGAACGCUGGCGGCGUGCUUAACACAUGCAAGUCGAACGGAAAGGCCUCUUUCGGGGGGUACUCGAGUGGCGAACGGGUGAGUAACACGUGAGUAACCUGCCCUUGACUUUGGGAUAACUUCAGGAAACUGGGGCUAAUACCGGAUAGGAGCUCCUGCUGCAUGGUGGGGGUUGGAAAGUUUCGGCGGUUGGGGAUGGACUCGCGGCUUAUCAGCUUGUUGGUGGGGUAGUGGCUUACCAAGGCUUUGACGGGUAGCCGGCCUGAGAGGGUGACCGGCCACAUUGGGACUGAGAUACGGCCCAGACUCCUACGGGAGGCAGCAGUGGGGAAUAUUGCACAAUGGGUGGAAGCCUGAUGCAGCAACGCCGUGUGCGGGAUGACGGCCUUCGGGUUGUAAACCGCUUUCUCUCAUGACGAAGCUUUGUGUGACGGUAGUGGGUAAAGAAGCACCGGCUAACUACGUG
This 467-nucleotide ribosomal RNA is filed under the name uncultured bacterium. RNAcentral describes it as "partial 16S ribosomal RNA". It matches the Rfam family "Bacterial small subunit ribosomal RNA", at positions 28 to 507 of the family's 1533-position model. The record is from RNAcentral.